RNAcentral lists this long non-coding RNA (237 nucleotides) under Capsicum annuum. RNAcentral's name for it is "long non-coding RNA (CANN_LNC014862)". Lineage: Eukaryota; Viridiplantae; Streptophyta; Magnoliopsida; Solanales; Solanaceae. The record is from RNAcentral.
UAGUUAAUACUGUCUUCUCGGCUUGAAUAAUUACCAAAAAUCCCAUUACUUUUCUUGGGAUAAUCCCUCUCAAUAAAUGCAACAGUAUAUUAAUAAAAUCACUGUGAAAAUAUCAAUAUUGAACCAACUAUGAAAUCAUGUUUAUCAUUGGUUAGCUCAUCUAGAACUUGGUUACACAAGUACAGACUUUGAUGGAUCCAUUUGUAAACCCACAUGGGAAAGUGUACCUUCUCCACA